RNAcentral lists this small RNA (210 nucleotides) under Camellia sinensis. Its description in RNAcentral is "transcribed RNA". The record is from RNAcentral. Lineage: Eukaryota; Viridiplantae; Streptophyta; Magnoliopsida; Ericales; Theaceae.
UCUCAUCGACAAUAGGGUGAUCGUGCCUCCGGANAAACCAAAUGUCACAACCAACCCUCUUCCACCACAUAACCAAGCUCCACCUCCCAAACGUAUCAACAUGAUCCAAACUGGGGUUGUGUCAUACGACCCUAGUAUAUAUAUCACCCCUUCUCACUUACCCAAGCCGGAGGUGUUCAUUCCUGACAACACUGACUUGUGCGUGUUGGA